RNAcentral lists this ribosomal RNA (253 nucleotides) under uncultured bacterium. Its description in RNAcentral is "partial 16S ribosomal RNA". It matches the Rfam family "Bacterial small subunit ribosomal RNA", at positions 524 to 776 of the family's 1533-position model. The record is from RNAcentral.
UACGUAGGUGGCAAGCGUUGUCCGGAUUUACUGGGCGUAAAGAGCGCGCAGGCGGUCGUAUAAGUCGAAUGUGAAAGCCCCCGGCUCAACUGGGGAGGGUCACGCGAUACUGAUCGACUCGAAGGCAGGAGAGGGUAGUGGAAUUCCCGGUGUAGUGGUGAAAUGCGUAGAGAUGUGGAGGAACACCGAUGGCGAAGGCAGCCUUCUGGGCCAACACUGACGCUCAUGCACGAAAGCGUGGGGAGCAAACAGG